Molecule: ribosomal RNA, 301 nt
Filed under: uncultured bacterium
Lineage: Bacteria
Description: partial 16S ribosomal RNA
Rfam family: Bacterial small subunit ribosomal RNA
Source: RNAcentral
CAGUAGCCACGGGAAUACGUAGGGUGCAAGCGUUAAUCGGAAUUACUGGGCGUAAAGCGUGCGCAGGCGGUUAUAUAAGACAGAUGUGAAAUCCCCGGGCUCAACCUGGGAACUGCAUUUGUGACUGUAUAGCUAGAGUACGGCAGAGGGGGAUGGAAUUCCGCGUGUAGCAGUGAAAUGCGUAGAUAUGCGGAGGAACACCGAUGGCGAAGGCAAUCCCCUGGGCCUGUACUGACGAUCAUGCACGAAAGCGUGGGGAGCAAACAGGAUUAGAUACCCGCGUAGUCCCUGUCUCUUAUAC